Molecule: ribosomal RNA, 479 nt
Filed under: uncultured bacterium
Lineage: Bacteria
Description: bacterial SSU rRNA
Rfam family: Bacterial small subunit ribosomal RNA
Source: RNAcentral
GAUGAACGCUGGCGGCGUGCUUAACACAUGCAAGUCGAACGAAGCACUUUAAUUGAUUUCUUCGGAAUGAAGUUUUUGUGACUGAGUGGCGGACGGGUGAGUAACGCGUGGGUAACCUGCCUCAUACAGGGGGAUAACAGUUGGAAACGACUGCUAAUACCGCAUAAGCGCACGGUAUCGCAUGAUACAGUGUGAAAAACUCCGGUGGUAUAAGAUGGACCCGCGUCUGAUUAGCUGGUUGGUGAGGUAACGGCCCACCAAGGCGACGAUCAGUAGCCGACCUGAGAGGGUGACCGGCCACAUUGGGACUGAGACACGGCCCAAACUCCUACGGGAGGCAGCAGUGGGGAAUAUUGCACAAUGGGGGAAACCCUGAUGCAGCGACGCCGCGUGAGUGAAGAAGUAUUUCGGUAUGUAAACUUCUAUCAGCAGGGAAGAAAAUGACGGUACCUGACUAAGAAGCCCCGGCUAACUACGUG